CAGUCGCCACGGUAAUACGAAGGGUGCAAGCGUUACUCGGAAUUACUGGGCGUAAAGCGUGCGUAGGUGGUGGUUUAAGUCCGUUGUGAAAGCCCUGGGCUCAACCUGGGAAUUGCAGUGGAUACUGGGUCACCAGAGUGUGGUAGAGGAUAGUGGAAUUUCCGGUGUAGCAGUGAAAUGCGUAGAGAUCGGAAGGAACAUCUGUGGCGAAGGCGACUAUCUGGGCCAACACUGACACUGAGGCACGAAAGCGUGGGGAGCAAACAGGAUUAGAUACCCCCGUAGUCCCUGUCUCUUAUAC
This 301-nucleotide ribosomal RNA is filed under the name uncultured bacterium. RNAcentral describes it as "partial 16S ribosomal RNA". It matches the Rfam family "Bacterial small subunit ribosomal RNA", at positions 509 to 807 of the family's 1533-position model. The record is from RNAcentral.